CGGGUGACCGGAUGCCGAUCUCGAAAACCUGUCCCAGUUCGGACUGGAGUCUGCAACCCGACUCCACGAAGUUGGAUUCGCUAGUAAUCGCGCAUCAGCCAUGGCGCGGUGAAUACGUUCCCGGGCCUUGUACACACCGCCCGUCAAGCCAUGGGAGCCGGGGGCGCCUGAAGUCCGGGACCGCGAGGACCGGCCUAGGGCGAAACUGGUGACUGGGGCUAAGUCGUAACAAGGUAAC
This 238-nucleotide ribosomal RNA is filed under the name uncultured bacterium. RNAcentral describes it as "partial 16S ribosomal RNA". It matches the Rfam family "Bacterial small subunit ribosomal RNA", at positions 1254 to 1500 of the family's 1533-position model. The record is from RNAcentral.